AGCUACACAACGAGAUGAGGAUGGUCAUUGUCAUUUUCUGAGCGGCGAACGGGCAGAAAGCUACACAAGGAGAUGAGGAUGGUCAUUGUCAUUUUCUGAGCUG
This is a long non-coding RNA of Sycon ciliatum, 103 nucleotides long. RefSeq lists it as uncharacterized. The record is from RefSeq and is a predicted model, not a curated record. Lineage: Eukaryota; Metazoa; Porifera; Calcarea; Leucosolenida; Sycettidae. The transcript is spliced from 2 exons.